RNAcentral lists this small RNA (445 nucleotides) under Pongo abelii (Sumatran orangutan). RNAcentral's name for it is "processed transcript". Lineage: Eukaryota; Metazoa; Chordata; Mammalia; Primates; Hominidae. The record is from RNAcentral.
CGGUGUCUGGCCGGGCCUGUCACCGGGACGAAGCUCCUGGGCUCAAGUCUCCUUCCAUGGCGGUGCCUUCUCCAGGCUGGGUUGCCUCACCCAAGACGGCCAUGCCCAGCCCUGGGGUCUCCCAGAGCAAGCAGCCGCCUCUCAACAUGAACUCUUCCACCACCCUGAGCAACGUGGAACAGGGUACCCUCCCGCCUAGCGGCCCCCGGAGCAGCUCCUCAGCACCUCCCGCCAACCCUCCCAGCGGCCUCAUGAACCCCAGCCUACCAUUCACUUCCUCCCCAGACCCCACACCUUCCCAGAACCCCCUGUCACUGAUGAUGACCCAGAUGUCCAAGUACGCCAUGCCCAGCUCCACCCCGCUCUACCACAAUGCCAUCAAGACCAUCGCCACCUCAGACGACGAGCUGCUGCCCGACCGGCCCCUGCUGCCCCCCCCACCACC